Molecule: microRNA, 25 nt
Filed under: Caenorhabditis elegans
Lineage: Eukaryota; Metazoa; Nematoda; Chromadorea; Rhabditida; Rhabditidae
Description: cel-miR-8210-5p
Source: miRBase by way of RNAcentral
UGCCUUCUUUCCUUGUGUCGCCGAC